RNAcentral lists this ribosomal RNA (262 nucleotides) under uncultured bacterium. Its description in RNAcentral is "partial 16S ribosomal RNA". It matches the Rfam family "Bacterial small subunit ribosomal RNA", at positions 92 to 354 of the family's 1533-position model. The record is from RNAcentral.
UUAGUGGCGGACGGGUGAGUAACGCGUGGAUAACCUGCCGUAUACCGGGGGAUAACACUUAGAAAUAGGUGCUAAUACCGCAUAAGCGCACGGCUCCGCAUGGGGCAGUGUGAAAAACUCCGGUGGUAUACGAUGGAUCCGCGUCUGAUUAGCUAGUUGACGGGGUAACGGCCCACCAAGGCAGCGAUCAGUAGCCGGCCUGAGAGGGUGGACGGCCACAUUGGGACUGAGACACGGCCCAAACUCCUACGGGAGGCAGCAG